RNAcentral lists this ribosomal RNA (506 nucleotides) under uncultured bacterium. Its description in RNAcentral is "partial 16S ribosomal RNA". It matches the Rfam family "Bacterial small subunit ribosomal RNA", at positions 29 to 523 of the family's 1533-position model. The record is from RNAcentral.
AGUGAACGCUGGCGGUAGGCCUAACACAUGCAAGUCGAACGGCAGCACAAGAGAGCUUGCUCUCUGGGUGGCGAGUGGCGGACGGGUGAGGAAUACAUCGGAAUCUACUCUGUCGUGGGGGAUAACGUAGGGAAACUUACGCUAAUACCGCAUACGACCUACGGGUGAAAGCAGGGGACCUUCGGGCCUUGCGCGAUUGAAUGAGCCGAUGUCGGAUUUGCUAGUUGGCGGGGUAAAGGCCCACCAAGGCGACGAUCCGUAGCUGGUCUGAGAACAUGAUCAGCCACACUGGAACUUAGACACGGUCCAGACGACUACGGGAGUCAGCAGUGGGGAAGAUUGGACAAUGGGCGCAAGCCUGAUCCAGCCAUACCGCGUGGGUGAAGAAGGCCUUCGGGUUGUAAAGCCCUUUUGUUGGGAAAGAAAUCCAGCUGGCUAAUACCCGGUUGGGAUGACGGUACCCAAAGAAUAAGCACCGGCUAACUUCGUGCCAGCCGCCGCAGUAA